Molecule: non-coding RNA, 95 nt
Organism: Mycobacterium shimoidei
Lineage: Bacteria; Bacillati; Actinomycetota; Actinomycetes; Mycobacteriales; Mycobacteriaceae
Source: Rfam
GGUGGACCCCGCGCGGCGUUCAUCCUGUGAACUCCCCCAGGGCCGGAAGGCAGCAAGGGUCAACGGGCUCUAGCGGGUGCGCGGGGUCCCCACCU